Mycena rosella is the source of this 94-nucleotide non-coding RNA. NCBI's taxonomy places the organism in Eukaryota, Fungi, Basidiomycota, Agaricomycetes, Agaricales, Mycenaceae. The record is from the annotation of a GenBank genome assembly.
GGGCUUAUAGUGUAGUUGGUUAUCGCGCCCGCUUCGCAUUCGAUUACUUAAUCAACGAUGCGGGAGGUGCUGGGUUCAAUUCCCAGUGAGUCCA